RNAcentral lists this ribosomal RNA (440 nucleotides) under uncultured bacterium. RNAcentral's name for it is "partial 16S ribosomal RNA". It matches the Rfam family "Bacterial small subunit ribosomal RNA", at positions 338 to 795 of the family's 1533-position model. The record is from RNAcentral.
CCUACGGGUGGCAGCAGUGGGGAAUAUUGCACAAUGGGGGAAACCCUGAUGCAGCGACGCCGCGUGAAGGAGGAAUUCUCUCGGUAUUUAAAGCUCUAUCAGUAGGGAAGUAAAUUACGGUACCUGACUAAUAAGCCCCGGCUAACUACGUUCCAGCAGCCGCGGUAAUACGUAGGGGGCAAGCGUUAUCCGGAUUUACUGGGUGUAAAGGGAGCGUAGACGGCUAAUCAAGUCAGUAGUUAAAAUCAAGGGCUCAACUUUGGAACUGCUUUUGAAACUGAGUAGCUAGAGUGCAGGAGAGGUAGGCGGAAUUCCUGGUGUAGCGGUGAAAUGCGUAGAUAUUAGGAGGAACUCCAGUGGCGAAGGCAGCUCACUGGACUGUAACUGACGUUGAGGCUCGAAAGUGUGGGGAGCAAACAGGAUUAGAUACCCUGGUAGUC